RNAcentral lists this ribosomal RNA (468 nucleotides) under uncultured bacterium. RNAcentral describes it as "partial 16S ribosomal RNA". It matches the Rfam family "Bacterial small subunit ribosomal RNA", at positions 28 to 507 of the family's 1533-position model. The record is from RNAcentral.
GACGAACGCUGGCGGCGUGCUUAACACAUGCAAGUCGAACGGAAAGGCCCUGCUUUUGUGGGGUGCUCGAGUGGCGAACGGGUGAGUAACACGUGAGUAACCUGCCCUUGACUUUGGGAUAACUUCAGGAAACUGGGGCUAAUACCGGAUAGGAGCUCCUGCUGCAUGGUGGGGGUUGGAAAGUUUCGGCGGUUGGGGAUGGACUCGCGGCUUAUCAGCUUGUUGGUGGGGUAGGGGCUUACCAAGGCUUUGACGGGUAGCCGGCCGGAGGGGGUGACCGGCCACAUUGGGACUGAGAUACGGCCCAGACUCCUACGGGAGGCAGCAGUGGGGAAUAGUGCACAAUGGGCGGAAGCCUGAUGCAGCAACGCCGCGUGCGGGAUGACGGCCUUCGGGUUGUAAACCGCUUUCGCCUGUGACGAAGCGUGAGUGACGGUAAUGGGUAAAGAAGCACCGGCUAACUACGUG